Non-coding RNA from Tritrichomonas musculus, 72 nucleotides. The record is from the annotation of a GenBank genome assembly. Lineage: Eukaryota; Parabasalia; Tritrichomonadida; Tritrichomonadidae.
GUCUGAGUAACUUAAUGGCAAGAGUGAACCUCUAACACAGGUUUGGUGAUGGUUCGAUUCCAUCCUUGGACA